This is an unclassified non-coding RNA of Callithrix jacchus (white-tufted-ear marmoset), 299 nucleotides long. It matches the Rfam family "Metazoan signal recognition particle RNA". Rfam says of the family: The signal recognition particle (SRP) is a universally conserved ribonucleoprotein. It is involved in the co-translational targeting of proteins to membranes. The eukaryotic SRP consists of a 300-nucleotide 7S RNA and six proteins: SRPs 72, 68, 54, 19, 14, and 9. The record is from Ensembl. NCBI's taxonomy places the organism in Eukaryota, Metazoa, Chordata, Mammalia, Primates, Cebidae.
GCCAGGCGAGGUGGUGCGUGCCUGUAGUCCCAGCUACUCGGGAGGCUGAGGCUGGAGGAUCACUUGAGUCCAGGAGUUCUGGGCUGUAGUGCACUAUGCUGAUCUGGUAUCCGCGCUAAGUUUGGCAUCAAAAUGGUGACCUCCCGGGAGUGGGGGACCACCAGGUUGCCUAAAGGAGGGGAAAACUGGCCCAGGUUGGAAAUGGAGCAGGUCAAAACUCCCAUGCUGAUCAGUAGUGGGAUUGCGCCUAUGAAUAGCCACUGUUCCAGCCUGGGCAGCAUAGCGAGACCCUGUCUCUA